Molecule: non-coding RNA, 3369 nt
Organism: Bactrocera oleae (olive fruit fly)
Lineage: Eukaryota; Metazoa; Arthropoda; Insecta; Diptera; Tephritidae
Source: RefSeq, a predicted model, not a curated record
UAUAUGAAUUAUUUUCUCUAAAAAAAUCUGCAAUAGCGCUUUGUGUAUGCAUAGGAAUGAAUUUUAUUUUAAUGUGUUACGGCAGUUCUUUGUAAAUUUUUUUUUUGUAAAUACUGUUUGUGCACAUAUUUAGAUAUUAUCAUUUCACUUCUAUUUGCCAAAAACUUCGAUUAUGUACAUAUUGGCACACAGCCCAGGGAGAAAAACGCUUGGCAUCCCUUGAAUCUGUGUUAGCAUGUGUUAUAACCAUUAGAAGUCGCUCUUGACCAAACCAAUUUGGUUUAUGCCAAGAACGAUAGAAACAAAAAUUUUGUAGGUAGGAACGUGUAUGGGUUUGCCAUUUCAUUUACAUGGUGCAUUUUCUUUUAGAUUAAUAUGGAUUCACCUCAAUUUCGUACAGUUUGUCAAUUCUGCGAAAAGAAUGCAUUUAAAUAUACUUGUCCAAAAUGCAAUGCGUUGUAUUGUUCUAUCAGCUGCUAUAAGACUCCAGAACACUUGAAAUGUACAGAAGCAUUUUAUAAAUCUUGUAUACAGGAAGAACUAUCAACAGAUGAUUCUAAUGACAUGAAGAAUAUAUAUGAAAUAUUGAAGAGUAUACAUGAGACAGACGCUGGAAUAGAGCACGAUUUUAAUACAGGGAAAACGGAAAGUGAUUUAGAUGAGGAUGAUGUUUCUGAUGAUGAUGAUAACGAUGCCAAUGAUAAUGAGGAAGAUCUUGAAGAUAUUGCGACACGUUUGCAAAAUGUUGAUAUAAAUGAUGCGGACGAAGUCUGGGAACAUUUGUCAUUGAGUGAGCGUGCUGAAUUCAAAAAGUUGAUUGAUAACAAGAAAAUAAUGGAUUUAGUGCCAGAGCAUAAACCGUGGUGGUCUUUAAAGAAAACAAAAAUAAUAGAGAUAAAUAGCACCAAUAAUGAUACUCUUGUACCUGAAAUUGAGAAAAAUAUACCAAAAUUUUCGAGUAUUUUUAGUAAAGCGCCAUCACCGUGUUUGCAUUAUAAUUUAUGGAAUAUAUUGGCCUCAUAUGUAAUGAUGGUACGUCACUUCAAUGGCGAACAUUUUAUAAACCCAAUUGAAGCUGUUGCACAUUUGGUAAAUUUAAGCUUAACUUUGAAAUUUGGAACAAAUUUUGAGAGCGUCGACAAUGCUCUUAGAACGGUGGAAAUUGAAGCGCUUAAUACGAACGAUGUUGGCCUAGAAAUGUCAGAAAAUUUCGAACCAACUUAUUCGGUAUCAUUAUGCUCUUUACUAAAACAUGAUGCCGAAUCCGUAAUGUCGUCCUGCUAUAACAAACUAGCAGCACUUAGUGACAUAUAUCGUUUAAUAAAGAAGGCCACAAAUCAUUUGAAAAUAAGUAAUUAUAAAAAACACAGUGAUUUUUUCAAAUUAUUUGCCGUAUGUAACGGAAGUGUUGUGCUGGAACGAAAAAAAUUGUUGCAGUUAUCAAAAAAAGUUGAGUUUCUGUUAUCUUACGUUAAUAUUGACAACGAAGAACUACUAGAGUAGUACACUAAUUAAUAAUCUGUGUAAUAAAACAUAUACAUAAUAUAUGCAUUUCUUACAAUGAAAAAUGAAUUGAUUGUGUAAAUUCAACUCCUGAAAAUUAAUUAUAUAUUUUUAAUGUUUCUAACGAUAUAUUUCGCAAGGCAGUAUAUAUUGUCUUGAUAAUUUUAUUGCUGUCAAUAUAACGUUGCAUCACCGCAUUCAAGUAUAUCCACCAACUAGCUCAUGUACAUAUGGCAAUGUGGCUAGCAAUAAUUUUGUGUGGACAUUUGUUAUCUGGAUAAAAUCAUUUGCCAUUUGACGUUGGACAGGUUUGCUUAAUAUAUUGAAACACUGGCAUCCCAUAUGAAAUCAAAGCUAUCUGUUAUAUCCAUUAGAGGUCGCACUAUUGUUUUAUGCGAUAUAUACCCAUGUCGUGGAUUUAUGGCAUUUUAUGAAGUUGUUUACAAGUCGAAAUAUUUUUUUUUGUUUUGUGAUUUAUUUCAUUUGGUUCAUCCUUCACUUGGAAAAUUUGUCUCACGUUAAAUAUGGAUCUAGCUCACGAAGUUUGUCAAUUCUGUCAAAAGGUUGAAUUCAAAUAUACCUGCCCGAAAUGCAGUGCAUUGUAUUGUUCUAAGAUCUGCUUUAGGAAGCCAGGACACAAGAAAUGUACAAGUUUAUUUCACAACAUCUUUCGCCAAUCUUCAUCGUAUAGUCAAAUGGAGCGUAAUGAAGUUAUGAUGAGAUAUAUGAUUUUGAGAAAAAUGCUUGAAGUACGGAAUGGAAGCAAAAAGGAAAGAACAAAAAGUGAGAGUAGUAACGAAAGUGAACGUAGUUUCUGGACUGGGGAUGUUGGUAAUAUUGGAGAUGAUGGUUUCUAUUCUCAUAUUGGUGAUGAUUCUUUUGAUAUUUGUGAAGAUUCUAAUGAUGAUUGUUAUGAUUCUAAUAUUAAUAAUUUAAAUGAUGGUGGUGAUGACAUUGAUGAACUUGAUGAUGGUAAUGAUGAUGUAGAUGAUGACGAUGAUUCAAAUAGUGAUAAUUUUGAUGAUAAUGAUGAUGGUGAUGACGCUGAUGGUGUUGAUGAUGAGGAUGAUUCAAAUAGUGAUAGUGAUAAUUCUAAUGAUAAUGAUGAUGGUGAUGACGUUGAUGCUGAUGAUGCUGAUGAUGAUGAUGAUGAUGAUAAUGAUGAUGAUUGUAAUAAUGAUGUAGAUAAAUGUAAUGAUAACGACGAUGAUGAUGACUUUAAAGACGAUUCGACUAAUGAUGAUAACGAGGAUGAUGAUGAUGACGAUGAUGGUGAUGAUGAUGAUAAUAUUGAUGACGAUUACGCUGAUUAUGAUGGUGAUGACGUUGAUGAUAUUGGUGAUUUUGAUAAUUUAUGUUAUUAUAUUGUUAGCGAUGAUAUACUCGAACUUGCAAGGCAAUUUUGCUAUUCGCUGAGAGCGCGGAUAUUAGAAAGACGAUCGAAAGUAUUAAAAGCAAGAUUUGAUUUAUACAACAUACCCUACUGAUUAUAGACAAAGUAAUCAGUUUUUUUUCGAAGAAUUUCAAUAUUUUCAUACUCCAAAACUUGCAAAAUACUAAAUUCAAUUGUGGUUGCAAUAAGAUUUUACCUAGCCCUACAGGUAUGGUAUAUCAAGAAAUUUCGAACGACCUGGUGUUCUAUUAAAAAAAAAAGUGCAGGACUGUCUAAUACGUAAGAUUACAAUUCAUAAUAUUUUUGUAUUAUUUAUCAUUUAGGUAGUAACGGAUAUUUAUAUAGUUAAUAAAUAAGUCGAUUAAUUAUUAUACUUUAAUAUUGAAAAUAUCCCUUGUAUUUGCACCUGAAAACUUAAGGAUAAUGAAUGUUUGUAUAUGUUUUAACGACAAAUAAAGACUGAUCUACAUUUA